GCUUAGAGUUUGAUCCUGGCUCAGGAUGAACGCUGGCGGCGUGCCUAACACAUGCAAGUCGAACGGACUCUUCGGAGUCAGUGGCGGACGGGUGAGUAACGCGUGAGAACCUGCCUCUAGGAGGGGGAUAACAGCGGGAAACGGCUGCUAAUACCCCAUGAGCCGUAAGGUAAAAAGGAAUCCGCCUAGAGAGGGGCUCGCGUCCGAUUAGCUAGUUGGGGAGGUAAAAGCUCACCAAGGCGACGAUCGGUAGCUGGUCUGAGAGGAUGAGCAGCCACACUGGGACUGAGACACGGCCCAGACUCCUACGGGAGGCAGCAGUGGGGAAUUUUCCGCAAUGGGCGAAAGCCUGACGGAGCAACGCCGCGUGAGGGAAGAAGGCCUUUGGGUUGUAAACCUCUUUUCUCAGGGAAGAAGUUCUGACGGUACCUGAGGAAUCAGCCUCGGCUAACUCCGUGCCAGCAGCCGCGGUAAUACGGAGGAGGCAAGCGUUAUCCGGAAUUAUUGGGCGUAAAGCGUUCGUAGGCGGCCGUUCAAGUCUGCUGUCAAAGUCCGAGGCUCAACUUCGGGAAGGCAGUGGAAACUGAACAGCUAGAGGUCGGAAGGGGCAGAGGGAAUUCCCAGUGUAGCGGUGAAAUGCGUAGAUAUUGGGAAGAACACCGGUGGCGAAAACGCUCUGCUGGGCCGAACCUGACGCUGAGGGACGAAAGCUAGGGGAGCGAAUGGGAUUAGAUACCCCAGUAGUCCUAGCCGUAAACGAUGGAGACUAGGUGUUGCCUGUAUCGACCCGGGCAGUGCCGAAGCCAACGCGUUAAGUCUCCCGCCUGGGGAGUACGCACGCAAGUGUGAAACUCAAAGGAAUUGACGGGGGCCCCGCACAGCGGUGGAGUAUGUGGUUUAAUUCG
This 905-nucleotide ribosomal RNA is filed under the name uncultured bacterium. RNAcentral's name for it is "bacterial SSU rRNA". It matches the Rfam family "Bacterial small subunit ribosomal RNA", at positions 1 to 953 of the family's 1533-position model. The record is from RNAcentral.